UAAGGUAAGGCUUGAACCAACAACCUCAGGAGUCCCAGUCAGUCUCCUUAUCCUCUGAGCUACGUAGACACACAGGGGAGUUCCGGGUUUUUCCUAUUUCACUCUCUUUUCUCAACACUAGACUUUAAAUUUCACUGCGAGUGUAUAAGGCAAGGCUUGAACCCACAACCUCAGGAGUCCCAGUCAGUCUCCUUAUCCUCUGAGCUAUGUAGACACACAGGGCAAUUCCGGGUUUGUCCUAUUUCACUCUCUUUUCUCAACACUGGACUUUAAAUUUCACUGCGAGUGUAUAAGGCAAGGUUUGAACCCACAACCUCAGGAGUCCCAGUCAGUCUCCUUAUCCUCUGAGCUAAGUAGACACACAGGGCAAUUCCGGGUUUGUCCUAUUUCACUCUUCUUUCUAGACCCUAGACUUUAAAUUUCACCACGAGUGUAUAAGGUAAGGCUUGAACCAACAACCUCAGGAGUCCCAGUCAGUCUCCUUAUCCUCUGAGCUACGUAGACACACAGGCGAGUUCCGGGUUUUUCCUAUUUCACUCUCUUUUCUCAACACUGGACUUUAAAUUUCACUGCGAGUGUAUAAGGCAAGGCUUGAACCCACAACCUCAGGAGUCCCAGUCAGUCUCCUUAUCCUCUGAGCUACGUAGACACACAGGGCAAUUCCGGGUUUGUCCUAUUUCACUCUUCUUUCUAGACCCUAGACUUUAAAUUUCACCACGAGUGUAUAAGGUAAGGCUUGAACCAACAACCUCAGGAGUCCCAGUCAGUCUCCUUAUCCUCUGAGCUACGUAGACACACAGGCGAGUUCCGGGUUUUUCCUAUUUCACUCUCUUUUCUCAACACUAGACUUUAAAUUUCACUGCGAGUGUAUAAGGCAAGGCUUGAACCCACAACCUCAGGAGUCCCAGUCAGUCUCCUUAUCCUCUGAGCUAUGUAGACACACAGGGCAAUUCCGGGUUUUUCCUAUUUCACUCUCUUUUCUCAACACUAGACUUUAAAUUUCACUGCAAGUGUAUAAGGCAAGGCUUGAACCCACAACCUCAGGAGUCCCAAUCAGUCUCCUUAUCCUCUGAGCCACGUAGACACACAGGGGAGUUCCAGGUUUUUCCUAUUUCACUCUCUUUUCUCAACACUAGACUUUAAAUUUCACUGCGAGUGUAUAAGGUAAGGCUUGAACCCACAACCUCAGGAGUCCCAGUCAGUCUCCUUAUCCUCUGAGCUACGUAGACACACAGGGCAAUUCUGGGUUUGUCCUAUUUCACUCUCUUUUCUCAACACUAGACUUGAAAUUUCACUGCGAGUGUAUAAGGCAAGGCUUGAACCCACAACCUCAGGAGUCCCAGUCAGUCUCCUUAUCCUUUAUUGAUGUAAUUAACAUAAGAAUAACAACACUUCACACAGCCAAAGGUUUGAUUAUUCUGCCAAUAGUCUUCUUUUCUUUCAGGACCAACUGUGGGGUUUUUCCUUUUCUGAAUUGUUUUUCUUUGUUCAUAUUUAGCAUUUUUAGGGUGACCAAAAUUUCAGAUUUUAGGGUGAAAAAAAAAUUCAGAUUUUAGGAUGAGAAAACAUGCCAUAGUAUUGUCUGUUCAAAUUGCCAUAGUAUAGGAUGUUAUAAAUUUCCUAUUUUAGCGGGAAAAUGAAAAAAUCAUAUUUUGGUUGGGAAAAAAAAAAAAAGACAUAGUAUACUAUGACCAAAAUUUCAGAUUUUAGGGUGAGAAAAAAAUUCAGAUUUUAGGAUGAAAAAACAUGCCAUCGUAUUGUCUGAUCAAAUUGCCAUAGAAUAGGAUGUUAAAAAUGUCAUAUUUUAGCAGGAAAAUGAAAAAAAUCAUAUUUUGGUCUGAAAAAAAAAAAAGACAUAGUAUACUAUGACCAAAAUUUCAGAUUUUAGAAUGAAAAAACAUGCCAUAGUAUUGUCUAAUCAAAUUGCCAUAGAAUAGGAUGUUAAAAAAUGUCAUAUUUUAGUGGGAGAAUUAAAAAUUCAUAUUUUGGUCUGAAAAAAAUAAUGACAUCUAUGACCAAAAUUUCAGAUUUUAGGGUGAAAAAAAAAUUCAGAUUUUAGGAUGAGAAAACAUGCCAUAGUAUUGUCUGAUCAAAUUGCCAUAGAAUAGGAUGUUAAAAAUGUCCUAUUUUAGCGGGAAAAUGAAAAAAUCAUAUUUUGGUCUGAAAAAAAAAAGACAUAGUAUACUAUGACCAAAAUUUCAGAUUUUAGGGUGAAAAAAAAAUUUAAGAUUUUAGGAUGAAAAAACAUGCCAUCGUAUUGUCUGAUCAAAUUGCCAUAGAAUAGGAUGUUAAAAAUGUCAUAUUUUAGCGUGGGGGAAAAAUUCGUCUUUUAGUCCCAAAAAAAAAACAAAAAACGUCAUAGUAUUUGUCAUGACUGUAGUCAUUUAAGUGGUUUGGUUAGUUCAUUUGUUGACUGACAGCUCUCUUUUUUCCCCCCUUGUCUGCAGUGGAAAUCAGCCUUUGUGUGAGAGAUGAGCUGCAGGUGUGCGUGUGCUGCUAUUUGCGAUGUGACAUGAUUGCUGCAUGCUGAUUGGCUGGCUGAGGACUAUUUAAACCACUUGAUGCCAUCCUCCAGCCCCCUUCUGGCCCUUGCCAUUUCCAACCACCAGUCCAUGCAGUCAAUGUGAAUUAUUUCUGGUUAGCCUUGGGAAUACAAAGAUAAUUUAAUUGUGAAUAUUUUACUUUAGGAUUUAGUGGCAGACACAGGAGGGAGAAGCCAUUUUGUUUUCUAUCUUGUUUUCUCCUGUUUCUUGGUUAGGAGUUAGGUUAUCUGUUGUCUUUUGUUUUACAUUUAUUUUACUACAGGUAAGUUAGGGUCCUUGAUUUAGCGGUUUUGUUUGAUGUGUUGGCAUCACUGCUCUCUGAAGUGAAUAAAAACUGCCUUGUCUGUGAAUCUACAAACUCAUCAUUGGCUGGUUCUUGGGAGUGGGAAGAGCGGGGCACUUAAUAAUAUACAGCCCUGGUUCCCCUUGGCCAGGGCCAUAGAAUAUACUAUGAACAAAAUUUCAGAUUUGAGGAUAGGAAAAAAACAUGCCAUAGCGUUGUCUGAUCAAAAUGCCAUAGAAUAGGAUGUUAAAAAUGUCAUAUUUUAGUGGGAAAAUGAAAAAUUCAUAUUUUGGUCUGAAAAAAAAAACGACAUAGUAUACUAUGACCAAAAUUUCAGAUUUUAGGGUGAAAAAAAAAUUCAGAUUUUAGGAUGAGAAAACAUGCCAUAGUAUUGUCUGAUCAAAUUGCCAUAGAAAAGGAUGUUAAAAAUGUCAUAUUUUAGCAGGAAAAUUAAAA
This 3282-nucleotide long non-coding RNA is filed under the name Xyrichtys novacula (pearly razorfish). The record is from RNAcentral. Lineage: Eukaryota; Metazoa; Chordata; Actinopteri; Labriformes; Labridae.